GCAUUACCACCGACCAGUCCUCAGCCGGCAACAUGAAGCUGGGUGGCCUCUGCCUCCUGCUCCUCCUCGCCGUCCUUCUCACCCUCAAUGCAGAGUUCCAAGCAGUUGAUGUAGGUAUCUGUGUGACGGAGUGCAAGGUAGACCAGGACUGUGGGGCAGGAAGACGAUGCACCAGCAAUGGAUGUGGCCGGGUCUGCUCCCCAGUCCGGCGAAGAGAGGCCUGCGAGCACCAGUGCAGAGAAGACAGGGACUGUGGGAGUGGACAUCCGUGCGUGAGGAAGGGCUGUGGGCACGUCUGCGCCCCCGUCCAUCAAGUCGGUAUCUGUGUGACGGAGUGCCGUGUAGACCAGGACUGUGGGGCAGGAAGACGAUGCACCAGCAAUGGAUGUGGCCGGGUCUGCUCCCCAAUCCAGCGAAGAGAGGCCUGCGAGCACCAGUGCAGAGAAGACAGGGACUGUGGGAGUGGACAUCAGUGCGUGAGGAAGGGCUGUGGGCACGUCUGCGCCCCCGUCCAUCAAGUCGAUAUAGGUAUCUGUGUGACGGAGUGCAACGUAGACCAGGACUGUGGGGAAGGAAGACAAUGCACCAGCAAUGGGUGUGGCCGUGUCUGCUCCCCAGUCCAGCAAGAAGAGGCCUGCGAGCACCAGUGCAGAGAAGACAGGGACUGUGGGAGUGGACAUCAGUGCGUGAGGAAGGGCUGUGGGCACGUCUGCGCCCCCGUCCAUCAAGUCGGUAUCUGUGUGACGGAGUGCAAGGUAGACCAGGACUGUGGGGAAGGAAGACGAUGCACCAGCAAUGGGUGUGGCCGUGUCUGCUCCCCAGUCCAGCAAAAAGAUGUAGGUAUCUGUGUGACGGAGUGCAAGGUAGACCAGGACUGUGGGGAAGGAAGACGAUGCACCAGCAAUGGAUGUGGCCGUGUCUGCUCCCCAGCCCAGCAAAGAGAGGCCUGCGAGCACCAAUGCAGAGAAGACAAGGACUGUGGGAGUGGACAUCAGUGCGUGAGGAAGGGCUGUGGGCACGUCUGCUCCCCCAUCCCUCAAGUAGGUAUCUGUGUGACGGAGUGCAAUGUAGACCAGGACUGUGGGGCAGGAAGACGAUGCACCAGCAAUGGAUGUGGCCGUGUCUGCUCCCC
RNAcentral lists this long non-coding RNA (1132 nucleotides) under Sus scrofa (pig). RNAcentral describes it as "lncRNA (ENSSSCG00015063763.1)". The record is from RNAcentral. Lineage: Eukaryota; Metazoa; Chordata; Mammalia; Artiodactyla; Suidae.